This is a long non-coding RNA of Macaca fascicularis (crab-eating macaque), 1556 nucleotides long. The record is from Ensembl. NCBI's taxonomy places the organism in Eukaryota, Metazoa, Chordata, Mammalia, Primates, Cercopithecidae.
CUGGCAGGAAAAGUUCUUGAAGGAAAUUAAAAGUGCUGCUGCAGUGAACACAUGAAUGAAAAGAAAGCAAAACAGCCAUAUUGCUGAUAUAGAGAAAGUUUGAGUGGUCUGGAUAGAAGAUCAAACCAGUCACACAUUCCCCUAAGCCAAAGCCUAAUCCAGAGGAAGGCCCUAACUCUCCUGAAUUCUAUGAAGGCCAAGAGGGGUGAGAAAGCUAUGGAAGAAAAGUUGGGGCCGGGCGUGGUGGCUCAUGCCUGUCAUCCCAGCACUUUAGGAGGAUGAGAUGGGUGGAUCACCUGAGGUCAGGAGUUCGAAACCAGCCUGGCCAACAUGGUGAAACCCCAUCUCUACUGAAAAUACAAAAAUUAGCCAGGCAUGGUGGCCUGUGCCUGUAAUCCCAGCUACUCGGAAGGCUGAGACAGGAGAAUUGCUUGAACCUGGGAGGCAGAGGUUACAGAGAGCUGAGAAUGUGCCACUGCGCUCCAGCCUGGGCGACAGAGUGAGACUGUCUCACAGAAAAAAAAAAAAAAAAAUUACUGAUCAUUAACAAUGCACCUGGUCACCUAAGAGGUCUGAUGGAGAUGUACAAGAAGAUGAACGUUGUUUUCAUGCCUGAUAACACAAUAUUCAUUCUGCAGCCCAUGGAUCAAUAACUAAUUUCUACUUCAAGUCUUAUUAUUUGAAGAAAUGCAUUUUAGGCCGGGUACGGUGGCUCACGCCUAUAAUCUCAGCACUUUGGGGGGCCGAGAUGGGUGGAUCACUUGAGGUCAGAAGUUCGAUGCCAACAUGGGGAAACCCUGUAUCUACUAAAAAUACAAAAAAAUUAGCCGGUGUGGUGGCAUGUGCCUGUAAUCCCAGCUACUUGGGAGGCUGAGGCAGGAGAAUUGCUUAAACCCAGGAGGCAGAGGUUGCAGUGAGCCGAGAUCAUGCCACUGUACUCUAGCCUGGGCAACAGAACGAGACUGUCUCAAAAAUAAUAAUAAUAAGAAGAAGAAGAAUGUAUUUUGGCCAGGUGCAAUGGCUCAUGCCUGCAAUCCUAACACUUUAGGAGGCUAAAAUGGGUGGAUCACCUCAGGUCAGGAGUUUGAGACCAGACUGGCCAACAUAGUGAAACCCCAUCUCUAGUAAAAACACAAAAAUUAGCCAGGUGUGGUGGCAGGCUCCUGUAAUCCCAGCUACUGGGGAGGCUGAGGCAGGAGAAUCACUGGAAACUGGGGGGUAAAACUUGCAGUGAGCCAAGAUCAUGCCCCUUCACUCUAGCCUGGGUGAAAGAGCAAAACUCCGUCUCAAAAAAAAAAAAAGAAAUACAUUUUGCAGAUCACGAGAUCAGGAGCUCAAGACCAUCCUGGCUAACACAGUGAAACCCCGUCUCUACUAAAAAUACAAAAAUUAGCUGGGCAUGGUGGCAGGCGCCUGUAGUCCCAGCUACUCGGGAGGCUGAGGCAGGAGAAUGGGGUGAACCCGGGAGGUGGAGCUUGCAGUGAGCCGAGAUUGCACCACUGCACUCCAGCCUGGGCGACAGAGUGAGACUCCAUCUCAAAAAAAAAAAAAAAAAA